RNAcentral lists this transfer RNA (79 nucleotides) under Ahrensia sp. R2A130. RNAcentral's name for it is "tRNA-Ile". It matches the Rfam family "tRNA". Rfam says of the family: Transfer RNA (tRNA) molecules are approximately 80 nucleotides in length. Their secondary structure includes four short double-helical elements and three loops (D, anti-codon, and T loops). Further hydrogen bonds mediate the characteristic L-shaped molecular structure. tRNAs have two regions of fundamental functional importance: the anti-codon, which is responsible for specific mRNA codon recognition, and the 3' end, to which the tRNAs corresponding amino acid is attached (by aminoacyl-tRNA synthetases). tRNAs cope with the degeneracy of the genetic code in two manners: having more than one tRNA (with a specific anti-codon) for a particular amino acid; and 'wobble' base-pairing, i.e. permitting non-standard base-pairing at the 3rd anti-codon position. The record is from RNAcentral. Lineage: Bacteria; Pseudomonadati; Pseudomonadota; Alphaproteobacteria; Hyphomicrobiales; Ahrensiaceae.
UGGGCCGGUAGCUCAGUUGGUUAGAGCGCACGACUGAUAAUCGUGAGGUCGGAAGUUCGAAUCUUCCUCGGCCCACCAC